Molecule: long non-coding RNA, 2215 nt
Filed under: Pan troglodytes (chimpanzee)
Lineage: Eukaryota; Metazoa; Chordata; Mammalia; Primates; Hominidae
Description: long non-coding RNA NONPTRT018548
Source: RNAcentral
GGAGGAUGAGGGGAGGAGAGGAGGAAGAGGGGAGGAGAGGAGGAAGAGGGGAGGAGAGGAGGAGAAGGAAACGAGGAGGACGACGAGGCUGCACCACCCUUAUCAGGUUCCAGUUCUCGGUGCGCCCCGUUCUGCAAGACACUCUCCUGUGGUCAGCCCUGGCCUGCAGAGGAUUCCCGCGCUGGAUCUCUGAGGGAUGCUGGCGCCCUCUCUGCAGCACAUUCCUGAUGCCCUUGCUGACACAUGUGUCCUCUGGGUCCUCUCCUGAAACCUGAUCCUCCGGGGUGUCUUCUGGCCUCACCUCUUCUGUCCAGUUCCAGCAAGCUCACUUUGCUUAGCCUUUGAAUCCCUUCCUUCACUGUCUGCCGUGACAAUUCGGGCCUUUCACCGUCACUCAGGCCUGGACCAUCACUGUUGCCCAUCCCAUGCCAUCAACGGGUUUGCCCCAUCCCUUCGGCUCCCUACCAGGGCAUUCAGUUGUGUUGAGCAGCAGAGUGUCUCCAAGUCCCCACUGGUUGAGCUGCAUCCGGGUCCCAUCCCACAGGGGCCCCCCCUGGCCGCUGCAGGUGCAUGCUGAUCCUGCAGCUCCUCAAGGGUGUCAUCGCUUUCCCCCUUCCCAGACCCAGCACACCCUGCCUGCAUGGCGCUGUGCUGCACCUUCACUCUGGUCACGGGUCUGGCAGUCGGCUCACCAAUUCCUCCCGCUUCCCUGGGACUCGCCGGCUUUUAGCACUGCAAUUCACUCAGCAAACUGGGACUGUUGGUCACCCUACCUGGCAGCCAGUGAUAAGGUGAGGGCCACUCCUGGGAGGGAGGACACCUGUGGGGAAAAUUCUUGUGUUAUUUAUUUCUCCUUCAGGAUAGGGUGCCUGCAGCGCUUCAUGGGAGGGGGUGGGCUGAUGCUGCGGACUCAGAAGUUUCAAGGGCAUCUGGGGAGACCAGAUAUUCAGAGACCUUCUCCUAGAUGUGCCUGUUCCAUGUAUCAGGGACGCAGGUUUUCCCAACAGGGCUGGUGUCGUUGGCAUGACAGACCUGCCUUGGCUGAGCGUUCACCCGUCUUUGGAGUUCAGCCACCUUAGCAAGUCCUGGGUUUGUUCUUCAGACUUUGCUGCUCGCCCAUUGCCUGGAUCGGGGGCUACUUUGUAAACCACCAGGAAGACUCCAGUGUUUCUGCUUAAUUUUUAGAUGUUUGUUAAUUGCUCUUGGUCUCUCAUUAAUCCCCUGUGGGUCAUCCAGGAAACAUACUCACCACUGUCUGUUCUCUGAGUUUUCAUUUCCAGGCAUCCGCCCUGCCUGGAUCUCCUCACCUGCCAGGAACUUCCUCUCCACAAGCCGGCCAUCCCAGCAAAAGUUCUAACACCAAAGGUCUGGCAACUAGCCUGCCAUCUUGUGCCUGGAGCCGCCUGCGUGCCACCUACUCCCGAAGAUGGGAACCUUGUUGCCAGUUGGGCAGAUGCGGGGCAAUCCUGUACCAAGACCCCAUUUUACCACCUGCUUUCUCAGACCACUCUGGAACCCACUGUCUCAGAUUGUGUCCUCCAGGAAGCAGACCAUGAGAGGGAGUUGGCAGGGCCAAAGAUUUACUGGGGCUAACUAACACUCAGGAAAGGGAUAGGAAGGAAACAGGGCUGGAGAGCAGGUUGAGCCCGACCUGACAGUCUCGAGCAGCCCAACAGGGAGGUGUGGAGCAAGGGUUGCCCACUAGAGGGGCCUGCAUUGGGUACGGGUGAUGGGGUCCACAUGGUACCUGGCAUAUAGCAGGCUGUGCAAUCCAUAUUAACUGACUGGAUAAAUUAAUGCCCAGAAAAGGUGCCCUGGAGAAUGGGUGUGUGCUGAACACAAUAGGGAAGGGCCCAGCAUCUGCCUUGGCAUAGGCAGAACUGUGCUGUGCCCUGCAACAGGCCACCUGAGAGCUGCUUUGAUCUUGUGUGUGCAUUAGACGACUGCCAGGGGCAUGAAGGGGAUGUGCUUCCAGGGCAUUUGCUGGCAGGGCGUCUCGUGAUCUCUUGGUAUUGGUGUGAGCACAGCCUGGCAGGAGAGGGCAGAUCUCCGUGCAAAGUACGUCAGAAAGCAGAUGGAAGCCAGGCCCCCUCCUGAAAGAGGCUCCUUGAAGAUAAUUCUAACAUCUUUGUCAUCAGUGUUGACAUCUCUUGAUUGUAUCCUGUCAUUCCAUUUGAGAUCUUCCUGGUUCUGGGUAUGAUGUGUAACUUUUGAU